UACGUAGGGGGCGAGCGUUGUCCGGAAUUACUGGGCGUAAAGGGUGCGUAGGCGGCUUAGUAAGUUAGAAGUGUAAUACCCAGAGCUUAACUCGGGUGCUGCUUCUAAAACUAUUAGGAUUGAGUGCAGAAGAGGAGAGUGGAAUUCCUAGUGUAGCGGUGGAAUGCGUAGAUAUUAGGAAGAACAUCAGUGGCGAAGGCGACUCUCUGGUCUGUAACUGACGCUGAGGCACGAAGGCGUGGGUAGCAAACAGGAUUAGAUACCCUGGUAGUCCACGCAGUAAACGAUGGAUACUAGGUACAGGAGGUAUUGACUCCUUCUGUGUCGAAGCUAACGCAUUAAGUAUCCCGCCUGGGGAGUACGGCCGCAAGGUUGAA
Molecule: ribosomal RNA, 377 nt
Filed under: uncultured bacterium
Lineage: Bacteria
Description: bacterial SSU rRNA
Rfam family: Bacterial small subunit ribosomal RNA
Source: RNAcentral